GACGAACGCUGGCGGCGUGCUUAACACAUGCAAGUCGAACGGAAAGGCCCUGCUUGUGUGGGGUGCUCGAGUGGCGAACGGGUGAGUAACACGUGAGUAACCUGCCCUUGACUUUGGGAUAACUUCAGGAAACUGGGGCUAAUACCGGAUAGGAGCUCCUGCUGGAUGGUGGGGGUUGGAAAGUUUCGGCGGUUGGGGAUGGACUCGCGGCUUAUCAGCUUGUUGGUGGGGUAGUGGCUUACCAAGGCUUUGACGGGUAGCCGGCCUGAGAGGGUGACCGGCCACAUUGGGACUGAGAUACGGCCCAGACUCCUACGGGAGGCAGCAGUGGGGAAUAUUGCACAAUGGGCGGAAGCCUGAUGCAGCAACGCCGCGUGCGGGAUGACGGCCUUCGGGUUGUAAACCGCUUUCGCCUGUGACGAAGCGUGAGUGACGGUAAUGGGUAAAGAAGCACCGGCUAACUACGUG
RNAcentral lists this ribosomal RNA (468 nucleotides) under uncultured bacterium. RNAcentral describes it as "partial 16S ribosomal RNA". It matches the Rfam family "Bacterial small subunit ribosomal RNA", at positions 28 to 507 of the family's 1533-position model. The record is from RNAcentral.